This 106-nucleotide small nucleolar RNA is filed under the name Gossypium barbadense (sea-island cotton). RNAcentral's name for it is "Plant small nucleolar RNA R71". It matches the Rfam family "Plant small nucleolar RNA R71". From Rfam's summary of the family: R71 is a member of the C/D box family of snoRNAs containing the C (UGAUGA) and D (CUGA) box motifs. Multiple nearly identical copies of this snoRNA have been identified in Arabidopsis, and it is thought to function as a 2'-O-ribose methylation guide for 18S ribosomal RNA. RNAcentral also lists the same sequence under 1 other name. The record is from Rfam by way of RNAcentral. Lineage: Eukaryota; Viridiplantae; Streptophyta; Magnoliopsida; Malvales; Malvaceae.
AACCCAUGGUGAGGGUAUCUUCUUAAUAAAUCCUUAUACCUCUUACAUGCAUCAUAUAGCGUCCCUAAGUCAAUCUGUAUGAAGGAAGAGACAUAUUCCUCAGCUU